Molecule: ribosomal RNA, 253 nt
Filed under: uncultured bacterium
Lineage: Bacteria
Description: partial 16S ribosomal RNA
Rfam family: Bacterial small subunit ribosomal RNA
Source: RNAcentral
UACGGAGGGUGCAAGCGUUAUCCGGAUUUACUGGGUUUAAAGGGUGCGUAGGCGGGCAGGUAAGUCAGUGGUGAAAUCUCCGAGCUUAACUCGGAAACUGCCGUUGAUACUAUUUGUCUUGAAUAUUGUGGAGGUAAGCGGAAUAUGUCAUGUAGCGGUGAAAUGCUUAGAUAUGACAUAGAACACCAAUUGCGAAGGCAGCUUACUACACAACGAUUGACGCUGAGGCACGAAAGCGUGGGGAUCAAACAGG